GUCCUUGGGUGACGCUCUUUCUUCUUCUUAAAACCAAGAUAACUGGCCCAGGAUGAGAUAAGCGUUCCGGCAAACCAAGUAUUGGAUGUAUGAUCACGUCCAGGAAGCGUCGGGCCUUUGGGGAUCAGCCUUCAAAUAUGCUCCACCAGGCAUUCUGAGCCGUGGAUUGAAUAGUUUUUCCCAAAGCUACCAAUAUCCCUCCGACCACAAAGAAACAGUGGGACAAGAUAACACUGUGGCCGUUAUGAAGCCAGGCGCCGAAAGUUGGUGACGUAUCCCAGCUAAUAAAUGUUAUUUAUGAGAAAACUACAGUAAUGUGGAUGUCAGUUCUUCUUUAUGC
This is a long non-coding RNA of Brienomyrus brachyistius, 340 nucleotides long. RefSeq lists it as uncharacterized. Lineage: Eukaryota; Metazoa; Chordata; Actinopteri; Osteoglossiformes; Mormyridae. The record is from RefSeq and is a predicted model, not a curated record. The transcript is spliced from 3 exons.